This 238-nucleotide long non-coding RNA is filed under the name Sorghum bicolor (sorghum). RNAcentral describes it as "long non-coding RNA (SBIC_LNC016227)". The record is from RNAcentral. Lineage: Eukaryota; Viridiplantae; Streptophyta; Magnoliopsida; Poales; Poaceae.
ACACCCCCCGCACACCGCACUUCCUCCGGUAGUGCGCACUUUAUACUUGCCGGUCUUCCAGCCUGAGUCAUACUACUAGGCUUCACGGUCGGAACGAGUUAUCCGUCCAACUAAGUGUUAGGCAUGCGUUCAACAAGACAAGAGGACUUACAACGAUCGGUCCUUAGCUGCCACAGACGGAGUUACUACCACCUUGCAAAACUCUGCCCGGCUUAAGUCAUUUUAAACUAGAUUCUAU